UAUAACGUAGCAAACUGCUCAGUAACACGUGGCCAAACUGCCCUAUGGACCAAGAUAACCUCGGGAAACUGAGGCUAAUCUUGGAUAGUACAUCCAGCCUGGAACUGGCGGAUGUAUCAAAUGCUCCGGCGCCAUAGGAUGUGGCUGCGGCCGAUUAGGUAGACGGUGGGGUAACGGCCCACCGUGCCGAUAAUCGGUACGGGUCAUGAGAGUGAGAGCCCGGAGACGGACUCUGAGACACGAGUCCGGGCCCUACGGGGCGCAGCAGGCGCGAAACCUUUACACUGCACGCCAGUGCGAUAGGGGGACACCGAGUGCGAGGGCAUAGAGCCCUCGCUUUUCUGUACCGUAAGGUGGUACAGGAACAAGGGCUGGGCAAGACCGGUGCCAGCCGCCGCGGUAACACCGGCAGCCCAAGUGAUGGCCGAUAUUAUUGGGCCUAAAGCGUCCGUAGCUGGCCGAGCAAGUUCGUCGGGAAAUCCACUCGCUUAACGAGUGGGCGUCCGGCUGAAAACUGUUCGUGCUUGGGACCGUGAAGACUCUGAAGAGGUACGUUCUGCGGGUAGGGAGCUGAAAUCCCGGUAAUCCUUGCGACGAGACCACCGGAUGUGCGAAAGCAGCUUCCAGGAGCGAACGGAUCCAGACAGUUGACGGGACGGAAAGCUAGGGGUCUCGCAACCGCGAUUAGAUACCCCGGGUAGUCCUAGCCCGUAAACGAUGCUUGCUUAGGUGUUGGCACAGGGCUACGAGCCCUGUGCUGUGCCGUAAGGGAAGCCGUGAAGCGAGCCGCCCUGGGAAGUACGUCUGCAAGGAUGAAACUUAAAGGAAUUGGCGGGGGGAGCACUACAACCGGGAGGAGCCUGCGGUUUAAUUGGACUCAACGCCGGACAUCUCACCAGCUCCGACAGCAGUGAUGACGAUCAGGUUGAUGAUCUUAUUCGAGCUGCUGAGAGGAGGUGCAUGGCCGCCGUCAGCUCGUACCGUGAGGCGUCCUGUUAAGUCAGGCAA
RNAcentral lists this ribosomal RNA (1008 nucleotides) under Halobacteriaceae archaeon LrC2. Its description in RNAcentral is "bacterial SSU rRNA". It matches the Rfam family "Archaeal small subunit ribosomal RNA", at positions 72 to 1041 of the family's 1478-position model. Lineage: Archaea; Methanobacteriati; Methanobacteriota; Halobacteria; Halobacteriales; Halobacteriaceae. The record is from RNAcentral.